CCGGUUCCCAGGGUUAGAGUAUUCCCUAUUAUGAGCCUACUCAGAUCAGAACUAAACUAAUUGAUUCUCUUUCGCCUAUCGGCCGGCCGGCUUGUUGCAACCUUCGCAUUUCCUGCUGAGAUCCCAAGUCUCCAAGUGGGCCCUCUUGGCCACCCGCGACCUUGGCUUUUUAGAGAAUCCCGCUCCUGUGUCGUGGGACUUGUAGCUCGGCAGUCCACCGGGUGGGUUUUUUUUCCUUCCAGUUUCGAGUGUCUUCUUGGAUAGUUAUAGCGGCCCAUAGGCGCAAGAUGUACCUUGUGGGGGGGGGCGGCGGUCCCCUGGACAUAGUCCUUUCAGGCAGUGGCCGUUUAGUCCAUGGUCCAUUUGAUGGUCGGUGCAAGGCCAGAAAUUGGAACACAUUGAUUCCGCUCGUUCCCGUCCUUCGCUUCAGGGCCUGUCCCUCGGUGUGGUCAGUACUCCAUACUGUCGGGCAGCAAAGCUUACACUUGUUCACUAAUUAUGACGGUUCGCCAGGGCCUCUUUCCUCCUCCCUUUUCUGCUCACUCGUAGGGGUUCGGACCCCCACAAAGGGGGAGGGAGUCGACUGAACAUCUCAGCCAUUGGCGGGAAUUUCGCCCGCAUCCGAUCCCCAAUUCUUGUUCACCCCGUAUGAUCGUGUUGGGUGAAUUGUGACCUCGUACGAUCGUGUCGGGUGAGCAACAGCCGCUUCGUCACAGUACUUACUUAUGGGCUAACGGGUCACACUUUGGCCAAGUAUCCUACAAAGA
Molecule: unclassified non-coding RNA, 767 nt
Filed under: Hevea brasiliensis (rubber tree)
Lineage: Eukaryota; Viridiplantae; Streptophyta; Magnoliopsida; Malpighiales; Euphorbiaceae
Source: RNAcentral